Molecule: ribosomal RNA, 490 nt
Filed under: uncultured bacterium
Lineage: Bacteria
Description: partial 16S ribosomal RNA
Rfam family: Bacterial small subunit ribosomal RNA
Source: RNAcentral
AUUGAACGCUGGCGGCAGGCCUAACACAUGCAAGUCGAACGGUAACAGGAAGCAGCUUGCUGCUUCGCUGACGAGUGGCGGACGGGUGAGUAAUGUCUGGGAAGCUGCCUGAUGGAGGGGGAUAACUACUGGAAACGGUAGCUAAUACCGCAUAAUUUCGCAAGACCAAAGAGGGGGACCUUCGGGCCUCUUGCCAUCGGAUGUGCCCAGAUGGGAUUAGCUUGUUGGUGGGGUAACGGCUCACCAAGGCGACGAUCCCUAGCUGGUCUGAGGGGAUGACCAGCCACACUGGAACUGAGACACGGUCCAGACUCCUACGGGAGGCAGCAGUGGGGAAUAUUGCACAAUGGGCGCAAGCCUGAUGCAGCCAUGCCGCGUGUAUGAAGAAGGCCUUCGGGUUGUAAAGUACUUUCAGCGGGGAGGAAGGGAGUAAAGUUAAUACCUUUGCUCAUUGACGUUACCCGCAGAAGAAGCACCGGCUAACUCCGUG